AUACUUUCUUCCUGGGGGGCAUACCAUAAUCAAGAAGGUGGUUUCACCAGGGUGAGGCUCUUCCAUUGCACAUUUUAUUUGGCUUGACCUCUGUGAUUUCCCCUUAUGUGGGAAACUCAACUGCAUAAUUUCUGUUAGUGGGGGACUGCAUUCGUGCAGUUCGAA
Molecule: small nuclear RNA, 165 nt
Organism: Protopterus annectens (West African lungfish)
Lineage: Eukaryota; Metazoa; Chordata; Ceratodontiformes; Protopteridae
Product: U1 spliceosomal RNA
Exons: 1
Source: RefSeq, a predicted model, not a curated record